UAGCACAGUGGUAGUGUAUUCGGCCCGUGACCGAGAGGUCGCCGGUUCGAAUCCGCC
Molecule: transfer RNA, 57 nt
Filed under: Branchiostoma floridae (Florida lancelet)
Lineage: Eukaryota; Metazoa; Chordata; Leptocardii; Amphioxiformes; Branchiostomatidae
Rfam family: tRNA
About the family: Transfer RNA (tRNA) molecules are approximately 80 nucleotides in length.
Source: Rfam by way of RNAcentral